GGUUCUCUGUGCCACUACUGCUCAUUCUGCAAGCACUGCGGUGACUGUGAGAAGUGUCCCUGUGAAGAGAAUGAUAAGAGUGAGCACUGUAAAAACUGUGAGUACUGCAAGUUUUGCUACGUGUGUCCAGUUAUAUGUGAGACAGCCUGCAAGCCCGGAAGCUACAUAGAUGAAAUUUCAGGAGCAGUGUAUCAGACUGUCACCAACAUAUUUGAAUAAAAGGAAAA
This is a long non-coding RNA of Nanorana parkeri, 227 nucleotides long. RefSeq lists it as uncharacterized. The record is from RefSeq and is a predicted model, not a curated record. The transcript is spliced from 5 exons. Lineage: Eukaryota; Metazoa; Chordata; Amphibia; Anura; Dicroglossidae.